UACCAAGGCGACGACGGAUAGCCGGCGUGAGAGCGUGGCCGGCCACAAGGACACUGAGAUACGGGUCCUACUCCUACGGGAGGCAGCAGUGCGGAAUUUUAGAUAAUGGAGGGAACUCUGAUCUAGCGACGCCGCGUGCAGGAAGAAGGUCUUCGGAUUGUAAACUGCUAUGGUAAGGGAAAAAUGCUAUGUAGAGUGGAAAGCUACAUAGAGGGAUGGUACCUUACUAGAAAGCCCCGGCUAACUACGUGCCAGCAGCCGCGGUAAUACGUAGGGGGCGAGCGUUACCCGGAAUCACUGGGCGUAAAGGGAGCGUAGGUGGCCUAACAUGUCAACUGUGAAAACCCGGAGCUCAACUCCGGACUUGCAGUUGAAACUGGUAGGCUUGAGGACGGUAGAGGAAGACGGAACUGCCAGUGUAGGGGUAAAAUCCUUAGAUAUUGGCAGGAACGCCGGUGACGAAGGUGGUUUUCUGGGCCGGUUCUGACACUGAUGCUCGAAAGCCAGGGGAGCGAACGGGAUUAGAUACCCCGGUAGUCCUGGCCCUAAACGAUGUUCACUAGGUGUGGGGAGCGGAAAGCCCUCCGUGCUAAAGCUAACGCGAUA
RNAcentral lists this ribosomal RNA (606 nucleotides) under uncultured bacterium. Its description in RNAcentral is "bacterial SSU rRNA". It matches the Rfam family "Bacterial small subunit ribosomal RNA", at positions 266 to 862 of the family's 1533-position model. The record is from RNAcentral.